Molecule: ribosomal RNA, 795 nt
Filed under: Vibrio cholerae
Lineage: Bacteria; Pseudomonadati; Pseudomonadota; Gammaproteobacteria; Vibrionales; Vibrionaceae
Description: partial 23S ribosomal RNA
Rfam family: Bacterial large subunit ribosomal RNA
Source: RNAcentral
UGAAGACGUGACGCCAGUUGCGUUGGAGCCGUCCUUGAAAUACCACCCUUGUAUGUUUGAUGUUCUAACUUAGACCCGUUAUCCGGGUUGAGGACAGUGCCUGGUGGGUAGUUUGACUGGGGCGGUCUCCUCCCAAAGAGUAACGGAGGAGCACGAAGGUGGGCUAAUCACGGUUGGACAUCGUGAGGUUAGUGCAAUGGCAUAAGCCCGCUUAACUGCGAGAAUGACGGUUCGAGCAGGUGCGAAAGCAGGUCAUAGUGAUCCGGUGGUUCUGUAUGGAAGGGCCAUCGCUCAACGGAUAAAAGGUACUCCGGGGAUAACAGGCUGAUACCGCCCAAGAGUUCAUAUCGACGGCGGUGUUUGGCACCUCGAUGUCGGCUCAUCACAUCCUGGGGCUGAAGUCGGUCCCAAGGGUAUGGCUGUUCGCCAUUUAAAGUGGUACGCGAGCUGGGUUUAGAACGUCGUGAGACAGUUCGGUCCCUAUCUGCCGUGGGCGUUGGAAGAUUGAAGGGGGCUGCUCCUAGUACGAGAGGACCGGAGUGGACGAACCUCUGGUGUUCGGGUUGUGUCGCCAGACGCAUUGCCCGGUAGCUAAGUUCGGAAUUGAUAAGCGCUGAAAGCAUCUAAGCGCGAAGCGAGCCCUGAGAUGAGUCUUCCCUGAUACUUUAAGUAUCCUAAAGGGUUGUUCGAGACUAGAACGUUGAUAGGCAGGGUGUGUAAGCGUUGUGAGGCGUUGAGCUAACCUGUACUAAUUGCCCGUGAGGCUUAACCAUACAACACCCAAGGGGUUUUGUA